This 71-nucleotide transfer RNA is filed under the name Marmota monax (woodchuck). RNAcentral's name for it is "tRNA.Ala". Lineage: Eukaryota; Metazoa; Chordata; Mammalia; Rodentia; Sciuridae. The record is from RNAcentral.
UAAGGUGUAGCUCAGUGGUAGAGCACAUGCUUUGCUUGCAAGAGGCCCUGGGUUUCAUCCCAGGACCACAG